AGACUAUAGUUUAUAAAAAUAUUAGCUUUGGGAGCUAAAGAUUCGAUCACCAUCGUAGUCUGA
RNAcentral lists this transfer RNA (63 nucleotides) under Paraleonnates uschakovi. RNAcentral describes it as "tRNA-Pro". The record is from RNAcentral. Lineage: Eukaryota; Metazoa; Annelida; Polychaeta; Phyllodocida; Nereididae.